RNAcentral lists this ribosomal RNA (253 nucleotides) under uncultured bacterium. RNAcentral's name for it is "partial 16S ribosomal RNA". It matches the Rfam family "Bacterial small subunit ribosomal RNA", at positions 524 to 776 of the family's 1533-position model. The record is from RNAcentral.
UACGUAGGGUGCGAGCGUUAAUCGGAAUUACUGGGCGUAAAGCGUGCGCAGGCGGCGCCGCAAGUCAGGCGUGAAAUCCCCGAGCUUAACUUGGGAAUGGCGCUUGAAACUACGGUGCUGGAGUGUGGCAGAGGGAGGUGGAAUUCCACGUGUAGCGGUGAAAUGCGUAGAGAUGUGGAGGAACACCGGUGGCGAAGGCGGCCCACUGGCUCGAUACUGACGCUGAGGCGCGAAAGCGUGGGGAGCAAACAGG